AUGUCAAGAGAUGGAAGUCAAAAGACUGUCAGUAGUGGAAACAUUCCCCAAGUAGAUGGUGCACAUGACUGUCUGGAUGUAGUCUCCCCUUCUGAGAAAGUUUUGGUGAAGAAGCACCAACAAGAUGUGUUGAAGGAAUGCAAGGAUGCUUUCAAUCGUUAUGUAUUCUCUUCAGAAAAUAAUUACAACUCAGUUUGCUCACCUUUUCACACCUCAGGUAGCAGUAGUAAACUUGGCUGUCUCUCUAGCAACAAAAAACGAAUGCCAAAAAGAAGCAAACCAAAGCGAAGACGAAACAAAUCACUGCCCCGUAAAAUACUACAGAAUCUCUCUUCUGAAAGCGAAGAUUGUGGGAAUGAUGACUUGACCAGUAUUUGCUCAUCAAGUACUACUGAGUUGCAAAGUCAUAACCAUGUAACUCAUGUGAUACCCAGGAGUGUAAUUAUGGAUAUCAUCGGAGCCUCUGAACCAACAGCUUCAAUAUCUAAAAAUCCUGAAAGCUCUGAAGAUUGUGCUGUUGUUUUAGAACCCUUUGAAAGUUUAUUGGACGUGAAUGAUGACAGAAACGAUGGAUGGUUCUUUGAAAGUUUUGAAGACUUCUAUAAAAGUCAAGGAGGAAAUGAUUGCUCCAGAGUUGCAUCAAGUCCACAAAAGAAAUAUCCCCAUUGGCCUAAAAAUGAAAGGAAUUGUGAUCAUGCUGAAGCUUUUAACCAGGCAAAUGCUGCCUUACAAUGUUUUGUCAACUUGUCUCUUAACAAUUUAUGUCAAAAAAAUAGUGCAGGACUUCAAACCAUACAAAGUAGAAAGGAAUUAAAACCAGUCUCAGAAAUUUUCACUCCCAUUAAUUUCUCAAGGGAUGUUGUGAAGGAUAGCUUUUCCGCAACUUUGUCUCCAUCAUGUGAGGCUCCUAACUUAGAAACCGAAAACUUCCCACAGAUCAUACCUAACAAUGAAGUCAAGGUAAUUGUCACUGCAGAUGUUCACUGUGUGGGGAGCAAGCCAGCUCUUACUUCUUCAAGAGGAAAGGGGACAAAUGUGCCUAGCAGACUUAAAAAAUUCCAAGCAGAAUUUCUAGGAGCUUUAUCAUCUACCAGUAAAGAUGCCGAGCUAUAUGAAAUAACCGCAGCACCAUUAGAACCUUAUAAGUCUCCCGCCUGUAAAACAGUCAUCCCACUGAUGAGAAAAAAACCAAGAAAGCGCAAAAAUGUUUUCAGGGAAAAGAAAAAGAAGAAGAAGAUUCCGCUGAAUAGAGGAAACUUAGUAUCCAAGAAAUGUUUUGAUGUAGCCCUGCCACAUUCUCUAAUUGAAAAGACGCCAUGGGUGAGGGACCCAAAUUCAAGAUCUUGCGAAAAAAUGCUUCACGAAGUUUCCUUAUGCACUGAAGAAAAAGAGUCAUUUAGUCCUACAGCUCUAGAAGAAUCAUUAAACUCAAACAAGGGGCUAAGAUCAUCUUCUAUGUAUGAGAAAUCUGGAACUUCCGUCCCUACUGCUUUGAAUAUCUUACCACCAGAAGGAGAUGAGACUUCUUUGAAGGAUGCCUCUGGAAAUUCUCUCUCUAAAACCUCAGAUUUCCUAUUACAGGAAAAAAACACUGGUGACAAAACCACUGUCAAUUUUAUCUCUCUAGAAGGAGAGAAUGCUCAGUCAGAGCAAUUUAAACCACUCACUCAAAACCCUUCCUCAACAGUAGAGAAUGAAAUGCAACAACCAUUUGCUGAGGCUCAGGUAGAAAAAUACGGUCUAAGAAAGUGUAGUGUCAGACUUGAAAGAUUACCAAGUCGACUCUCAGCGGAAAACUCUAAGUGCAAUUCAGAAGUUUGUUUGUCCGAACAGGAGUUCUUUUCAAAAACUCUGUGUCCAUUGAAAACAUCGGACUUCAAAUCUGUUAACCUACCAGAAAGUAUCUCGAAUGCCCGGAUGUUGGUGUCUCAAAAAGUGAUGGAGCGUUCUCUGAAUGUCGAAUUAAAAACUUCUCAAACUGAAAAUACAGCUGAAGAAAAGGGUAAAAUAGAAAGUUCUAAUCACAGCAAAGAUUGGAAUAAUGAGGAGUCCAGCACAAAAGCUAUCUCUAACCCAAAUAUUAGCCCCCUGACUUUUUCGCCUGACCUUAAUGAAAGCAACAUCAUACCAAAGAUAUUGAUAAACAACAGAACAGAGUUGCAAAGUGUUCAACACCCAUCUCCUAUGGAAGCAUCUGAAUUUGAAAUUUCUUUCUCCAAUAUUAGUGUUGAUGGAGGUCUCAAUCUGGUAAAUUCAAAUGAAAGUGACCAAUCUCAUGCCCUCUCAAAUUUUACAACAACUACACAAUUGUCACUGACAGAGGAAAAUUUUAGCAUCUUUAAAAACACUCAAGUUUCAGAAUCUGGUGCAGUUAAUUCUGUGCCUUGCUCCAAACCUGGAAGGAUGAAGGCAAGAUUAGAGGAAUCAACUCUUCUAGAUCAAGGACCUAUUAAAAAACAAGUUUCGGAACUUUCGUUAUGCAAGAUACCUACCGCAAAGCUUAGUCCUCACUCCCUAAGUCAGCAAUUUUCUCCCUGUACUGUACAAAAAUUAGACUGCUCAAAUAUCUGGUACAAAAUAAAAGAACGAGAGAAGAAACUUAUUGCUACAAACGGUACAAAAAAAAUCAGUCAUAUCUCAGAUCUGAAACCAAUGCACUUGGUGGUGUCGCCUUAA
RNAcentral lists this long non-coding RNA (2676 nucleotides) under Bemisia tabaci. RNAcentral describes it as "lncRNA ENSASIAIIG008075". The record is from RNAcentral. Lineage: Eukaryota; Metazoa; Arthropoda; Insecta; Hemiptera; Aleyrodidae.